GAUGAACGCUGGCGGCGUGCCUAAUACAUGCAAGUCGAGCGAACGGACGAGAAGCUUGCUUUUCUGAUGUUAGCGGCGGACGGGUGGGUAACACGUGGAUAACCUACCUAUAAGACUGGGAUAACUUCGGGAAACCGGAGCUAAUACCGGAUAAUAUUUUGAACCGCAUGGUUCAUAAGUGAAAGACGGUCUUGCUGUCACUUAUACAUGGAUCCGCGCUGCAUUAGCUAGUUGGUAAGGUAACGGCUUACCAAGGCAACGAUGCAUAGCCGACCUGAGAGGGUGAUCGGCCACACUGGAACUGAGACACGGUCCAGACUCCUACGGGAGGCAGCAGUAGGGAAUCUGCCGCAAUGGGCGAAAGCCUGACGGAGCAACGCCGCGUGAGUGAUGAAGGUCUUCGGAUCGUAAAACUCUGUUAUUAGGGAAGAACAUAUGUGUAAGUAACUGUGCACAUCUUGACGGUACCUAAUCAGAAAGCCACGGCUAACUACGUG
Molecule: ribosomal RNA, 497 nt
Filed under: uncultured bacterium
Lineage: Bacteria
Description: partial 16S ribosomal RNA
Rfam family: Bacterial small subunit ribosomal RNA
Source: RNAcentral